AUGGUGCCACAGACUCUGUUCCUCAUGUCCCUGUUGCUCUGGGCCUCUGGUGCCAGUGGGGACAUUGUGCUGACCCAGUCUCCAGCCUCUCUGGCUAAGUCUCAAGGAGAAACGGUCACCAUCAACUGCAAGGCCAGCCAGAGGGUGAGCAGCUACUUAGCCUGGUACCAGCAGAAACCAGGACAGGCUCCUAAGCUGCUCAUCUACGAUGCAUCGAAACGGGUAUCUGGGGUCCCUGACCGGUUCAGUGGCAGAGGCUCUGGGACAGGCUUCACUCUCACCAUCAGCAACUUCCAGGCUGAUGAUGCCGCAGGUUAUUAUUGUCAGCAAUAUAAUAACGUACCUCCCACCGUGCUUCAGCCUGGAACACAAACCUCCCCCCGAGGGCUAUAG
Non-coding RNA from Loxodonta africana (African savanna elephant), 393 nucleotides. Lineage: Eukaryota; Metazoa; Chordata; Mammalia; Proboscidea; Elephantidae. The record is from the annotation of a RefSeq genome assembly.